GAGGGUAUAGCUCAGUGGUAGAGCAUAUGUUUAGCAUGCAUAAAGUCCUAGGUUCAAUCCCCAGUACCUCCA
RNAcentral lists this transfer RNA (72 nucleotides) under Camelus bactrianus (Bactrian camel). It matches the Rfam family "tRNA". From Rfam's summary of the family: Transfer RNA (tRNA) molecules are approximately 80 nucleotides in length. Their secondary structure includes four short double-helical elements and three loops (D, anti-codon, and T loops). The record is from Rfam by way of RNAcentral. RNAcentral also lists the same sequence under 2 other names. Lineage: Eukaryota; Metazoa; Chordata; Mammalia; Artiodactyla; Camelidae.